Molecule: ribosomal RNA, 435 nt
Filed under: uncultured bacterium
Lineage: Bacteria
Description: partial 16S ribosomal RNA
Rfam family: Bacterial small subunit ribosomal RNA
Source: RNAcentral
AACGAACGCUGGCGGCAUGCUUAACACAUGCAAGUCGAACGCGUGCAGCAAUCCACGAGUGGCGCACGGGUGGGCAACGAGGGGAUACCCGCCUUUGGGUUCGGAAUAACCCCGUGGAACUGGGUCUAAUACCGGAGGGUUACUCCGGGAAGAAGAUCUAUCGCCAAAAGCUGAGUCCGCGUCCGAUUAGCUAGUUGGUUGGGUAAUCGCUCACCAAGGCGACGAUCGGUAGCUGGUCUGAGAGGACGAUUAGCCACACUGGGACUGAGACACGGCCCAGACUGCGACGGGAGGCAGCAGUGGGGAAUAUUGGACAAUGGGGGCAACCCUGAUCCAGCCAUGCCGCGGGAGUGAUGAAGGCCUUCGGGUUGUAAAGCUCUUUUGGCCGGGACGAUAAUGACGGUACCCGGAGAAGAAGCCCCGGCUAACUUCGUG